AUUGAACGCUGGCGGCAUGCCUAACACAUGCAAGUCGAACGCGAAAGGGUUUCGGCCUGAGUAGAGUGGCGGACGGGUGAGUAAUGCGUGGGAAUCUGCCUGUUAGUGGGGGACAACCCGGGGAAACUCGGGCUAAUACCGCAUACGACCUACGGGGGAAAGGGGCCGCAAGGCUCUCGCUGACAGAUGAGCCCACGUCCGAUUAGCUAGUUGGCAGGGUAAAGGCCUACCAAGGCGACGAUCGGUAGCUGGUCUGAGAGGAUGACCAGCCACACUGGGACUGAGACACGGCCCAGACUCCUACGGGUGGCUG
RNAcentral lists this ribosomal RNA (313 nucleotides) under uncultured Pseudomonadota bacterium. Its description in RNAcentral is "bacterial SSU rRNA". It matches the Rfam family "Bacterial small subunit ribosomal RNA", at positions 30 to 351 of the family's 1533-position model. Lineage: Bacteria; Pseudomonadati; Pseudomonadota. The record is from RNAcentral.